GCGCUGUCAGCGCAGGGCGGCGAGCGGAAUGCAGCGGCCCGAGGCCUGGCCACGUCCGCACCCGGGGGAGGGGGCCGCGGCCGCCCAGGCCGGGGGCGCGGCACCGCCCGCCCGAGCCGGGGAGCCCGCGGGGUCGCGGUUGCAGGAGCCUUCUCUCUACACCAUCAAGGCUGUUUUCAUCCUAGAUAAUGACGGACACCGCCUGCUGGCCAAGUAUUAUGAUGACACGUUUCCCUCCAUGAAGGAGCAGAUGGCCUUCGAGAAAAAUGUCUUCAAUAAGACCAGCCGGACGGACAGUGAGAUCGCGUUUUUCGGGGGCAUGACCAUCGUCUACAAGAGCAGCAUUGACCUCUUCCUGUAUGUGGUGGGCUCGUCCUACGAGAACGAGCUGAUGCUCAUGUCCGUUCUCACCUGCCUGUUUGAGUCCCUGAACCACAUGUUAAGGAAGAACGUGGAGAAGCGCUGGCUGCUGGAGAACAUGGACGGAGCCUUCCUGGUGCUGGACGAGAUUGUGGAUGGCGGCGUGAUUCUGGAGAGUGACCCCCAGCAGGUGAUCCAGAAAGUGAAUUUUAGGGCAGAUGACAGCGGCUUGACUGAACAGAGCGUGGCUCAGGUCUCCCUGCACAGACUAAUCCUGAGUUUACGGAGCUUCCUGCCCUGGCACUAACCACCUCCUGCUGUGGUGGCCCAGGCCGAGAUGGGUGCAUAAUGUCCCGUGUGGAGCCCCAGGUUCUUCAGUCUGCCAAGGAACAAAUUAAAUGGUCGUUACUGAAAUGAAAGCUGUGCAUUUGAGGCUCCCUCCCCCAGAUAAUUUCCGUGAUCCUGGCAAACAACUCAAAGACCCCAGGGAACAGAAGACACCCUUCUGUAUCCCCAGGCCCUCCCAGAACUGACUCCUGAAGCUUCUGGCUGGGGACUCCGAAAUGAAGAGAUUUGGCUUUAGCACUGAGUCACCCCUCCUCAUUGCCCUGGCCUGCCCCUCGGGCUUUGAGACCCAGCUGAGCCGCCUUAACUCAGACCUCAGGCAUCCCCGACCCCAGAGCCCAAAUAAACCUGCUGUCCCCUGU
Molecule: RNA transcript, 1067 nt
Organism: Phyllostomus hastatus (greater spear-nosed bat)
Lineage: Eukaryota; Metazoa; Chordata; Mammalia; Chiroptera; Phyllostomidae
Gene: COPZ2
Gene name: COPI coat complex subunit zeta 2
Exons: 10
Source: RefSeq, a predicted model, not a curated record